GCGGCGGCGAGCAGGAAGUAGGGCGAGCGGCGGGGCCAGCGCGCGCUCGGGGCCAUGGCCCUGAGCAGGAGGGAAGUGUUCAUAGGGAAAGUACUGAAACGACUCUAUGCUGAAACUUCAUCAUCUUCUCCUGUACAUACUUCGCAUAGAGAAGAGGAGGCAUUUCUCAGAAAUGUGGACUCAAAAUCCAAAGAAAAGAAUUUGGAUGAUGUUCAGAGUUCAUCGGCAGAUGCUAGCACAUCAACUGAUACACCCGGUGAAUCAUUGCAAGGUAGUGACAAUACAGUUCUGUCUCCAAGGAGGAUGUACACAGUGAAUCUUCCUCCGGAAGGUUACGUUGCAGUUACUUCAGAUGCUAUUAGUAUUUCAGUUUCUGAAAACUCAGACAGUAGUGCUGACUUAGCAGAGGAGGAAUAUCAAGGACAAACCAAGAGAAAACGCAUUCGAAGGAAGAAACAAAAGAGCAGAUUGCAAAACCCUAAUAAUUUACAUGGAGAACAAACAGAAUCUGGAAUACAAGAGGCUCUCAUUCAAGAUAAUUUACAGCUGCAGCAGACAGACAGUCCCAAAAUAAGCAAAAACAAGAAGAGGAAAAUGAAAAAGAAGAGACAGAAAGAAAAAAUGAGAGCAGCUGGUUUGGUAACAAAAACUACCGGUGUGGAUUUUACAUAUCAGCCUGACAAAAACAACAGAGAAGAAGCAGAAGGCUUAAAAAACAUAGAUGAAAAGGCAGAUAGCAUUCUGGACUUCCUGCAGGCAACACAACAAAUUUAUUUUUCUGAUAAUAAGUCAGAAUGCACGGAUUCUGCAAUAAAUUCAGCAACUGCCCAAGAGCUUUUACACUGUCUUGAAUCUCGAACCAUCUCCUCCUCAGAUGUGACUUUUCUACAUCAGUUGAAAUCCCUUGUAUUGCUACAGGAUAUUGAGAGAUUGAAGGAUGCUUUGAAACAGUUCCAAGAACAAUCCAUGAUGCCUCCUGAUCAUACCAAGGUAGUCACGUCUCUGUUUCACUACUGGAUCACAGAUAUCCUUCCUGUGAAGAACAGGAAAUAAAGCCUUGCCUGUGUCCAUAUGCACAGGGUUGAAAUUUAAUAUACAAACUCCUAACCAAGUAGUAAUUGCUCAGGGAGAGCAGUGUCAAUACACAUUCUACACCUUCAGGCACCACAGGAUGAGCCUCUGAGCGUGGGCAGGUCCUGGGAAGCAGCUGGCAGCAGUGACUUACCGAGGUGACGUGAACAGGAGAGAAGGAGAGAUGGAGCUACACGAGUGUAGCUUUUCCCUUGUAAGGUGCGACGGUGAUCAGCAGAGCCGUUCUGCUCUGUGCUCAGCAACAUUCCCGUGGAUAACCUGAGACUUGCACCUUCAAAUGAGAGUGGUGAGAAACUUGGGAGGUAAAAGUCACAAAGAUGAGACACCACUGAGCAAGUAUCUCUAAGACGAUAAUUAGUCUUUUGAAUAAUAACUAGGGGUCCUCUCUAUCCACCUUCAUGCAGCUCUAGCUGUCCAAGGCUGAUCCAAACCAUAGCAAUUACUGGUAUCUGGAAAUCAUAGAUGCUUUGUACAGCAGUCUCUUGCAUGUUAUUUUGUUUGAAGCCAACCAAAGAAGUCUGAAAAUAACCCUAUAAUAUUACAAAAAACAUAAAACUGUUAGAAAUCCAAACUAAGCCAGUCUUUGGCACCUUUUUUUUCUCCUGAGUUCCUGAAUUGUUGUUGUUAUUCUUUGUGAAUAUCCAGAAUAAGCAAGUCAUCUGAAAAACCUACUCAAUAAAAGCAUUCUACCCACA
This is an RNA transcript of Tyto alba (common barn owl), 1787 nucleotides long. It is a transcript of the gene named glutamate rich 1, with no coding region annotated. Lineage: Eukaryota; Metazoa; Chordata; Aves; Strigiformes; Tytonidae. The transcript has 7 exons. The record is from RefSeq and is a predicted model, not a curated record.